RNAcentral lists this ribosomal RNA (324 nucleotides) under uncultured eukaryote. RNAcentral describes it as "partial 18S ribosomal RNA". It matches the Rfam family "Eukaryotic small subunit ribosomal RNA", at positions 1470 to 1796 of the family's 1831-position model. The record is from RNAcentral.
CCCCUAGAUGUUCUGGGCCGCACGCGCGCUACACUGAACAGUUCAACAAGUCUUAACCUUGGCCGAUAGGUCUGGGUAAUCUUUGAACGCUGUUCGUGAUUGGGAUAGACCUUUGCAAUUAUGGGUCUUCAACGAGGAAUUCCUAGUAAACGCAAGUCAUCAGCUUGCAUUGAUUACGUCCCUGCCCUUUGUACACACCGCCCGUCGCACCUACCGAUUGAGUGAUCCGGUGAAUAAUUCGGACUGCAGCACUGCUUGGUCUCCAGGCUUUGCAGCGGAAAGUUUAGUGAACCUUAUCACUUAGAGGAAGGAGAANUCGUANCA